RNAcentral lists this ribosomal RNA (253 nucleotides) under uncultured bacterium. RNAcentral describes it as "partial 16S ribosomal RNA". It matches the Rfam family "Bacterial small subunit ribosomal RNA", at positions 524 to 776 of the family's 1533-position model. The record is from RNAcentral.
UACGUAGGGUGCGAGCGUUAAUCGGAAUUACUGGGCGUAAAGCGUGCGCAGGCGGUUUUGUAAGCCAGAUGUGAAAGCCCCGGGCUUAACCUGGGAAUGGCAUUUGGGACUGCAAGGCUGGAGUGUGGCAGAGGAGACUGGAAUUCCUGGUGUAGCAGUGAAAUGCGUAGAUAUCAGGAGGAAUACCGAUGGCGAAGGCAGGUCUCUGGGCUGACACUGACGCUCAUGCACGAAAGCGUGGGGAGCAAGCAGG